This 2710-nucleotide long non-coding RNA is filed under the name Homo sapiens (human). RNAcentral describes it as "HSALNT0320890". The record is from RNAcentral. Lineage: Eukaryota; Metazoa; Chordata; Mammalia; Primates; Hominidae.
GGCAACUCGCUGGGGUCCCCUUCCACCCUUUGAAAACUUUGUUCUUUGGUUCUUUGCAAUAAAUGUUGCUGCUGCUCACUCUUCGGGUCUGCACUGGCUUUAUGAGCUGUAACACUCACUGCGAAGGUCUGCAGCUUCACUCCUGGAGCCAGUGAGACCCCGAGCCCACCGGGAGGACCGAAGAACUUCAGAUGCGCCGCGUUAAGAGCUGUAACACUCACCGCGAAGGUCUGCAGCUUCACUCCUGAGCCAGCGAGACCACGAACCCACCAGAAGGAAGAAACUCGGAACACAUCCGAAUAUCAGUAGGAACAAACUCCGGACACGCCGCUUUUAAGAACUGUAACACUCACCUCGAGGGUCCGCGGCUUCAUUCUUGAAGUCAGGGAGACCAAGAACCCCCCAAUUCCGGACACAGGGGGACUUGGCUGCUUCCUGUUUCUAUCAUAGACGCAGCUGGCCUCAGAAUAUUCCACUUAUGGAUGAAAGAAUGAUAGUGUUAUUUUAUGGAAGAAUUUAAGAAGAUGUUGCGGUAUCAUCGACUUUAUUUUUUGUUCAUUCUGAAAAUCACAUCGCCAGAUCCAACACCUUUUUAUCCCAAUCACCAGUACAAGCCACCCGUAUCAGUGUACACUGUGGCUGACCGAUCCAUAGUGAUGCUUUGAGAUUGAAGCCACAAAAUCCACAGCACACAAAGACCCUGCUACCAUGUAUUCACUUCAGUGAAAGGGAAGCACCGAAAUGCUGAGUGGGGGCAGGUACAGAUACUUCAAUCACUGCUGAUGGAAGACUUCGAGAUACACUGUAAAAACUUUGAGAAAUGUCAUGACUGGGCACAUUGGAACUGAGCACUUGUACAGGAUGGAACAUCUGUCAGCAGAUCUCAAGAAACUGGGAGCAAAGAUAUUUCUUAGGCUUCAGGUUCGUAGUCUUGAUACCCUUCCUAAUAUUAGAAAAAUCAAAAAGACAGCACACACUGUUAGUAUAAGUUUCAAUUACGCAUCAGCACUGACAGCCAAUGAGAUAGGAAAUGGCUCCCCACUUACACUAAAAUUUACAAUCAAUGUUUUUGCAAAUAUUCUGCAGCAAAUAUUAUCUUAUUUUUAAUAGUUGUGUCUUUCUUGUCUGAUAUAAAAGUGAAUUACAGUAGUAGUCAGAGUUAAAAUAUCUAGGUUCUGAUCCGGAUGCACCAUUUAAUGAUCAUAUACCUAGUUUGGUAGGACAAAUAAGUUGGACUGUCUGGUUCUCAGUUUCUUCACCUGUAAAAUGUGAGAACAAAAUCAAGCUGUCUAUAAAGCCUUUUCCAGACUAAGAUGCUCUAAUUCUCAGAAGGAAAUUAAGAUGUUUGAAGGCAAGAUACAUUUUCCCUACUUUCACUCUCCCAGUUGAAAAUUUCGUCUUCAUCUAUGGCUUCAAUUAUUACUUGUAUUUCAAACCUCAAGCUCUCCAUACAGUAUCUGGAUAGCAUCCACAACACAAAUAUUAAUGGAUUUAAUUAAAGGGAUCAGAUUAUUCCUCCUAAAGAGCAACUCUAAUAAUAUCAGGAUUCUGCUUAAAAACAAACAAAUAAGCAUAACUUCAAUAACUCAAGUUGUUUUCUGAAUAGAAUACAAGCUGAAAUGACAAGAUUAUCCUAAUACUCUAUAACUUGUCUUUGACCCAUAGCUGCAAAUUCAAUCUAUCACCAUUUUCCUUGUUCCUAAGCUUGAGUCAUAAUUAUUCACUGUUCUCAGACAUAUCCAUUUGCAUGCUCAGACAUACAUGCCUUUGCUUCUGAUAUUCCCUUGUGCCAGAAUGUCCUCUGUUUGUUUUGACCUACUAUAUCUCUUACCUUUUCCCACCCAGAUCAACAUUACCUCCUCAAUAAAACUUCUCCUGAUUGAUUGAAACAGAUCUUUAAAAUGUUUUACUUUUUAGUAUGUCUUAUAUAUUUUUGCUCCUGUGAUGCCUGGUACAUCGAAGACAAUCAAUUAUGUUUGUUAAAGGAAUCAUAAUGAAGAAAUGAAUGAAUGAAUUUCUAUUUUUUUUCAUCAAACCUACCAGACUGUAAACUCCUUAUGUCCUGGUAAUGUCAAUUACUCUAUAGUUUUCCAUUGUGUUUAGUACUGUGUCUUGCAUAAAAGACCCCAAAAUAUUGGAAAUUCUUAUUAGGCAAACAAACAAUUUAAUCUCAAUUUCUAUAAGUUGAAUUAUUAUCAAUAUGCCUUUCGUGUGUCUGUGUGAGACAGUCUUGCUCUGUUACCAAGAUUGGAGUGCAGGGGUGCCAUCUCAGCUCACUGCAACCUCUGCCUCCUGGGUUCAAGUGACUCUCAUGCCUCAGCCUCCCAAGUAGCUGGAACCAUAGGCGUGUACCACCAUGCCCGGCUAAUUUUUGUAUUUUUAGUAGAGAUGGGGUUUCACCAUGUUGGCCAGACUGGUCUCCAACUCCUGGCCUCAAGUAACCUGGCCACUUUGGCUCACAAAGUGCGGGAUUACAGGUGUGAACUGCUGUGCCCAUCCUCGACAUGCCUUUUAAUAAUGCCGUGAGGAAUAAUACAUAACCAAACUACAACAUACUUGAACUCAAUUUUUAAUGGAGCCAUUAUAUAGUUUCUUUUCUUGUGAUAUCUUCAUUUGGUUUUGAUUAUCAGGGUAAUAUUGGUCUCACAAAAUUAGUUGGGAAAUGUCUCCUCUUCUGUUUUGUAAGAGAUAUUAAUUGGUGUUAACUAAU